AGGAUCCAGAUCCUACUCGAUUUUCGGUUCGCCAUCUUGCCCUCUCUGAGUCACAGUGCAUGAUAUGCAGAAGAGCUCUCUCUGCGGAGACUGAGGCGAAUGAUGGUUUCGAACCAAUACGCAUAUGCAUGGAGUGCAAAAUCACAGUUCUUGACUGGAACGAGAGAAGCAUGACCCGGAGAGACAGCCACCAGAGAAGGCAGCGGAGAGGAAUUGGU
RNAcentral lists this unclassified non-coding RNA (218 nucleotides) under Hevea brasiliensis (rubber tree). Lineage: Eukaryota; Viridiplantae; Streptophyta; Magnoliopsida; Malpighiales; Euphorbiaceae. The record is from RNAcentral.